Molecule: long non-coding RNA, 653 nt
Organism: Onychostoma macrolepis
Lineage: Eukaryota; Metazoa; Chordata; Actinopteri; Cypriniformes; Cyprinidae
Exons: 3
Source: RefSeq, a predicted model, not a curated record
AUCACGUCUCUCUGCCUUUCAGCGUGAAAUACAACACGCCAUACCAUUCACAGCAGUAACUCUACGCGGACACAUUUAUGAUGAGGAACUUUAAAGGUGCUGUUUGGUGAUCGGCUGCUCGGCGUCUAGGAUGGAGGUUACGAGGAUCUGAGGGCAUACCCGCUUUCACAAUCGUCCCCUCUGCGCAUGCGCCGCACAUGACAGGAUCAGAUAUGGUCCUGGGAGAAUCUAAUGUGCUCCACUCUACUGCUAAUGGUCGAUCCAUAAAAGACCAUCAGUGCCGCCAUGCCAGCACCAUUACCUGAGUCUUGCUGCCCCAUCCUUCUUCCAGAAUGGAGCUCUCAACAGUCAUCAGACUUCAAAUAUUUCAAUAACUGGCUAAUAUAAGAUCUCCUCUUUCCUACUGCCUCAAAAGCAACUGGUUGCAUUAUAAUUGUGCAUAGUUAGCAAGUGCAAUAAAUAGUUAUGGUUCUGCAUUGGAUCACCAAUCUACGACAGUAUUUCUAAACUAAAAAGUGUUCAAACCACAAAGGAAGCAAAGCACCGUAAACAUCUAAUCAAGUGUUAAUUUCUUUUUUACUGAACAGUGAUUCCCAUGAUAGCCGCUGAAUUUUUUUUUUUUUUUAAAGCAUUACGUUUAAAAAGGCUACUGC